Molecule: long non-coding RNA, 338 nt
Filed under: Capra hircus (goat)
Lineage: Eukaryota; Metazoa; Chordata; Mammalia; Artiodactyla; Bovidae
Description: lncRNA (ENSCHIG00000007649.1)
Source: RNAcentral
CUUUAUAUCUAUUUUUAAUACCUUAGAUUUGGAGGUAGAGGAAAUUAGAUGAAACCCCCAAACACACCGAAGAUCAUGAAAUAAUGAAAAAAAUAAUAAUGGUCCUCUACCAUCUGCUUCCGGAGAAGGCAAUGGCAACCCACUCCAGUGUUCUUGCCUGGAGAAUCCCAGGGACGGGAGAGCCUGGUGGGCUGCCGUCUAUGGAGUUGCACAGAGUCAGACACGACUGAAGUGACUUAGCAGCAACAACAGCCAUCUGCUUCAUUCUCUACCUCCAGGAAAAAUUUACUAUAGACCAGGUGGUCUUCAGAGACUUUGAUUUCCUUCUUAUAUUUAUG